GUGCCAGCAGCCGCGGUAAGACAGAGGGUGCAAACGUUGUUCGGAAUUACUGGGCGUAAAGCGCGUGUAGGCUGCUCUGCAAGUCAGGUGUGAAAGCCCUGGGCUCAACCUAGGAAGUGCACUUGAAACUGCGGAGCUUGAAUGUCGGAGAGGGCAGCGGAAUUCUCGGUGUAGAGGUGAAAUUCGUAGAUAUCGAGAGGAACACCGGUGGCGAAGGCGGCUGCCUGGACGACGAUUGACGCUGAGACGCGAAAGCGUGGGGAGCAAACAGGAUUAGAAACCCCGGUAGUCC
This 292-nucleotide ribosomal RNA is filed under the name uncultured bacterium. RNAcentral describes it as "partial 16S ribosomal RNA". It matches the Rfam family "Bacterial small subunit ribosomal RNA", at positions 505 to 796 of the family's 1533-position model. The record is from RNAcentral.